This 501-nucleotide ribosomal RNA is filed under the name uncultured bacterium. RNAcentral's name for it is "partial 16S ribosomal RNA". It matches the Rfam family "Bacterial small subunit ribosomal RNA", at positions 28 to 523 of the family's 1533-position model. The record is from RNAcentral.
GACGAACGCUAGCGGCAGGCUUAAUACAUGCAAGUCGAGGGGCAGCACAGAUAGCAAUAUUGCGUGGCGACCGGCAAACGGGCGCGGAACACGUACAAAACCUUCCUUUUUGUGUGGGAUAGGCCAGUGAAAUUUGGAAUAAUACCACCUCGUACAUUGGAGUGGCAUAACUUUGAUAUUAUCGACUUAUCGCCAAAUGACUGGUGUGCGUAUGGAUAGGUAGUUGGUAGAGGUAACAGCUCACCAAGCCUUCGAUCAUUAACUGGUGUGAGAGCACGACCAGUCACACGGGAACUGAGACACGGGCCCGACUCCUACGGGAGGCAGCAGUAAUGAAUAUUGGUCAAUGGACGCAAGUCUGAACCAGCCAUGCCGCGUGAAGGAUGACGGCCCUCUGGAUUGUAAACUUCUUGUAUGUGGGACGAAAAAGGGCCAUUUUUGGUCAACUGACGGUACCAUAGGAAUAAGCACCGGCUAACUCCGUGCCAGCCGCCGCGGUAA